Molecule: ribosomal RNA, 376 nt
Filed under: uncultured Campylobacterota bacterium
Lineage: Bacteria; Pseudomonadati; Campylobacterota
Description: bacterial SSU rRNA
Rfam family: Bacterial small subunit ribosomal RNA
Source: RNAcentral
UAAUACGGAGGGUGCAAGCGUUACUCGGAAUCACUGGGCGUAAAGGACGCGUAGGCGGGUUGUCAAGUCUGAUGUGAAAUCCUAUGGCUCAACCAUAGAACUGCAUUGGAAACUGGCAACCUAGAGUAUGGGAGGGGGAGAUGGAAUUAGUGGUGUAGGGGUAAAAUCCGUAGAUAUCACUAGGAAUACCCAAAGCGAAGGCGAUCUCCUGGAACAUUACUGACGCUAAGGCGUGAAAGCGUGGGGAGCAAACGGGAUUAGAUACCCCGGUAGUCCACGCCCUAAACGAUGAACACUAGUCGUCGCUCUGCUAGUCAGGGCGGUGAUGCACUUAACAGAUUAAGUGUUCCGCCUGGGGAGUACGGUCGCAAGAUUA